RNAcentral lists this ribosomal RNA (665 nucleotides) under uncultured Roseospirillum sp. RNAcentral's name for it is "bacterial SSU rRNA". It matches the Rfam family "Bacterial small subunit ribosomal RNA", at positions 28 to 727 of the family's 1533-position model. The record is from RNAcentral. Lineage: Bacteria; Pseudomonadati; Pseudomonadota; Alphaproteobacteria; Rhodospirillales; Rhodospirillaceae.
AACGAACGCUGGCGGCAGGCCUAACACAUGCAAGUCGAACGAACCGUGCUCUUCGGAGCACAAUGUUAGUGGCGCACGGGUGAGUAACACGUGGGAACGUACCCUAUAGUGCGGAAUAACCCAGGGAAACUUGGGCUAAUACCGCAUACGCCCUUCGGGGGAAAGAUUUAUCGCUAUAGGAUCGGCCCGCGUCUGAUUAGGUAGUUGGUAGGGUAACGGCCUACCAAGCCGACGAUCAGUAGCUGGUCUGAGAGGAUGAUCAGCCACACUGGGACUGAGACACGGCCCAGACUCCUACGGGAGGCAGCAGUGGGGAAUAUUGGACAAUGGGGGCAACCCUGAUCCAGCCAUGCCGCGUGAGUGAAGAAGGCCUUCGGGUUGUAAAGCUCUUUCGACGGGGACGAUGAUGACGGUACCCGUAUGAGAAGCCCCGGCUAACUUCGUGCCAGCAGCCGCGGUAAUACGAAGGGGGCUAGCGUUGUUCGGAAUUACUGGGCGUAAAGCGCGCGUAGGCGGUGUUCUAUGUCAGAGGUGAAAUCCCGGGCCUCAACUCCGGAAUUGCCUUUGAAACGGGANCCCUUGAGUCCGAGAGAGGAUGGCGGAAUUCCUAGUGUAGAGGUGAAAUUCGUAGAUAUUAGGAAGAACACCGGUGGCGAAGGCGGCCA